RNAcentral lists this ribosomal RNA (253 nucleotides) under uncultured bacterium. RNAcentral describes it as "partial 16S ribosomal RNA". It matches the Rfam family "Bacterial small subunit ribosomal RNA", at positions 524 to 776 of the family's 1533-position model. The record is from RNAcentral.
GACAGAGGGUGCAAACGUUGCUCGGAAUUACUGGGCGUAAAGCGCGUGUAGGCGGUCUCGCGAGUCGGGUGUGAAAGCCCGGGGCUCAACCCCGGACGUGCACUCGAUACUACGAGGCUGGAGUACUGUAGAGGAGAGCGGAAUUCCCGGUGUAGAGGUGAAAUUCGUAGAUAUCGGGAGGAACACCAGUGGCGAAGGCGGCUCUCUGGACAGUGACUGACGCUGAGACGCGAAAGCGUGGGUAGCAAACAGG